This is a small nuclear RNA of Nannospalax galili (Upper Galilee mountains blind mole rat), 164 nucleotides long. Its record names the gene U1. It matches the Rfam family "U1 spliceosomal RNA". From Rfam's summary of the family: U1 is a small nuclear RNA (snRNA) component of the spliceosome (involved in pre-mRNA splicing). Its 5' end forms complementary base pairs with the 5' splice junction, thus defining the 5' donor site of an intron. There are significant differences in sequence and secondary structure between metazoan and yeast U1 snRNAs, the latter being much longer (568 nucleotides as compared to 164 nucleotides in human). NCBI's taxonomy places the organism in Eukaryota, Metazoa, Chordata, Mammalia, Rodentia, Spalacidae. The record is from Ensembl.
AUAUUUACCAGGCAAGAGAGAUACCAUGAUAACGUGGGUGAUUUUCCCAGGGUGAGAUUUAUCCAUUGUACUCUGGAUGUGCUGACAUCUAUGAGUUCAUUAAACGUGGGAAAUGUGACUGCAUAAUUCAUGGUAGUGGGGGGCUUUGUUUGUGCUCUUCCUUG